Orbicella faveolata is the source of this 3501-nucleotide long non-coding RNA. NCBI's taxonomy places the organism in Eukaryota, Metazoa, Cnidaria, Anthozoa, Scleractinia, Merulinidae. The record is from RefSeq and is a predicted model, not a curated record.
AACUGGUCUGCCUCCCGCCAGUUGGGAUUCUUAACCUAGUUAUGUUUAUUUGAAUAUUUAUUUAUCAUUGUUUAUUUGCAUUAGUCCUUAAAAGCCCUAAUGGGGAGUGCCCAAUUAAGAACACUUUUUUUUUUACACACAAUCAAAGAGACUUUGGUUGAAAUUCUGACAGCCUAGUGUGAAUCUUGUAAAAUAAUUAUCUGUGACAUGAAAAGAUUUGAAAUUCAGACAGGACCUGCAUAAUCCCUCAUAGUUUAACAGUUUAUACCCUAACAGGACCUUUUUUGGCAACGGGGGAGGCAGUGGAUACUUGAUAAGAGACAGUCCUGUCUUUUCAGCAUUUUGAAAAGACCUGUUAGUAGGCCAAAAAGUGAAUUACUGCAGCUGCAUUCUCAGAGCCCAGUGACUAUCUUGAUAUGCAGUAUUGGGGUUCAUUUAACCAUUCCAAGCAUAGAGGUGCCUCAUCAGGAGCCCUUCACUAGGACCGUGCAACUCCCAUACUAAACCUAUAUAUGUCACCACAUUUUUACAGACCGGUCUAUUCUUAGACUUCUUUUCCCACAAAAUAGGUCAGUGCAGUCUAUAGGGGUGCACAUCAGUAAAGAAAAAAAUGGCAGCCUUAAAUGGACAUGUUGACUUGAUCUUAUAGUGAAAUGAUGAUGUCAGUUAAAAAUUAAGCCCGUACUAGUGAUUGGUCACUGAGGUUCCUGCUGGUGUUUUAAUUUGCGGUAAAUUCAAACUAAAAAUAGAUUGAUCUGUGAAAACACUGUGACAGGAAUACGGGGUAGUUUCACGCUGAUGGGCUCCUGGCCCCGUUAAUGCUUCCCACCACCCUACCCCCUACCUGAGAGUCAGUGUUGUCACACCCAUACCAGGGAAGACAGCAGCAAAAACAUAUUGUGCUUUUGUUGUCGUUGUUUUCUUUUUAACGGAAACUUCUAAAGGAACUUUAAAUAGCAGCCAAAGGUUUUAGUGUAAAAAUGUGGCAAGAUUUUUCAUCGUUCUAGGCCGUUUUAACCUCGUUCCCAGGGCCUUUUCCCUGCCCUGGGAACUUCUCCCAGUGACUGGGAGACUGGCAAUAGUGGGUGAAGUCGUUACCAGGCUUUCUCCAAUGUUCAAUCCAAGAUGGCGAAGUUGACCCGUCUGUCUGGCUGGAUACAUAACAACAACUCUGUGCAAUGUCAUGUAAAGAUUACUUAAUCUCGAGCCAAGCCAUUCUUUAAUUUCUGUAAUCCCUCCUUAUCCUGAGAACUGGUUGCCUCGCAGUAGGCUACACUGGAUUAUAAGAGGUCCUGAAAUAUAGAGAGUUCUGCUGCCAUCAGAUGACUUCCUGUGUUUCUCGGGGUCUGUUGGUUUCCUUCUGCAGCUCUUCCUUGCUGCUUGCUUACAACUUCAGUGCUCCUGUGUGCAAACAUAGAAACAGUGAAUAAUGCAGUGACAAGUGGAGUUUAUGGCGUGACUGACGUUACACGCAGGAAGUUGAAAGCGUGACUAACAUCACGUACACGAGCACACGAUUAUUGCAAGCGUAAAUGGCAUCACACAGGUUUUUGAAGGCGUGAGUGAUAGAGGGUUGAUGGCAUGAACCGAGGGGAUUGUUGUCGUGACUGACUUGACACACAGACGGUUGAUUGGAUAUCGCAGUGGAAAGACUGCAAGAGUCUGAAUGCAACGUGGCACGUUUUUUCACAUGUCCAGAGAUGACGCGGAAACCACAGCCGUCACGAGGUAUUCAGUCAAGAAAAGCAGUAAGGUCUGGACGAGCUGUUGAUGAUGUCAUUUUGGGUUGAUCAUACACCACGUGUGUCUUAAAGUAACUUGCCGGUACGUUAAUAUAUCUACCGUAUGUACUAGAUACAAGUUAGAUAUCUCUUGCUUCUGAGAAUUUUUUUUUUUAACCGUGUUGUGUAGCAAAAACUAAAUUUUUUUGGAGGAGUUGAAAAUUUGAACUUGAUAAAUAAUAUUUUGCUACUGUAAAGGGACGGCAAAGGUUUGCAAGAACAAAACAGAAAUGAGGAUGGACAGGACUGGGAAAGAUUUAGACCGAUAACAUUUCAAAUCUGUAGAUUCCUUAUUUCACAUGUUUCUGAUGUAACUCCUUAUCAGUACUAAGAGACCUAUCACAUUUUUCGUUAUAUAUUUUUUUAAAUACUCAGUUUGUUUCAUUCUUUGGAAAAAUGGGAUUUUGCCUGUGCUUUUUCCCGUAACAUGUAUAAUAGUGAUGAUAAGCUAAGGAAGAAAUUAUCGUUUGUUUACGUAAGGGAAGGUAUUCCUUACAUUGGCGAUCUGAAAUGUAACUUGUCUACACGGAUUGAAAACUAGGACUUUUAUUUUGGCCUGGUUAAAACAUUGAUAUUUUUCCUGCUCAAGUUUCAUUGGCUCUGUGUAAAAGAAAAAAAAUACAAUUUUCAUUUCCUUAAUCGAGUGGACAAGAGCUCUGAAUUUUUCUUUCCUUAAAAUAGUUGGUUUACAAGCCGAGACGGAAGUUUACCGAUUUUUUAACAACAGACGUGACUGUUAAUGAUACAGAAAACCUGCGAAAUUCAAAGUCAUUCAAAUUGUUUAUUUCAAUAACAUCAACAAUACAUAUGAUAAUACAUAUACAUAUCAGUUUAAUUUACAUGUUUUCGGCUCGGUUCGCGGCUCGGUUGCAGGGUUCUAUCACGUUCAUUUAGCUCAUAGUCUAGUUCUACAACUACAGGUGAAGGCGAUGGAGUGUUGUUUACAACAAACGGCAGGAUAAAGCUUUACUGGAUUUUGUUAAUAUUGCCGUUACACAACAAGGCCGCCGCUAUCAGAGGAAAAUAACAAAACGUUCGUAAAGUAAGGUUUUAUUUUAAUCAUAUCUUAAGAAUAUGGCUGCGGACAUAUGACGAAGAGUGUCGGAAUUGGUUUUAUUUAACUCUGAUAACGAGUGCACUGUUGUUUAUUGUACGCGAAAGAAAUGUACACAUUUUUAUUGUAUUCUCUUUGUAAUAAUAUUACUAAAUAAAUUACUUUUAUCACUCUACAAACUUAUGUCAGUUUACUGAAAGUUAUCCUUACAAGACUCUUUUGCAGAUGCCUGACAAAUGACGAGUCACAGAAAAGAUAAAAUUGGAAGGGCGGUAAAAACUGAUGUUGAAAACCGCCACCUCCCCGCCACCACCACUAACUAGCAUUUUUUAUACUUCAUAGCAAGAGUUUAGAGCUCCCAUCCGUGUGGUACAGUGGCCUCUAAUACGCAUGCGUACUAGGUGAGUGCCUUAUCUGUAAGACGUCGAGCAUACUUUGUGUGGUACCUGUAAGUAACUGAUAACUUCGUGUUGUGUAACCCGAAAUUUGAACUUCGGUUUUAAACUUCGGGUUACACAACACGAAGUUACCAGUUACUUACAGUUACCCCACAGAGUAUACUCGACUUCUUACAACUAAGACGCUCGCCUAGUACGCAUGCGUAUUAGAGGCUACAAUACCACAAGGAUGAGAACUCUUAAACCUUGUUAUAAAGUAUAAAAGAAA